AGAGUUUGAUCCUGGCUCAGGAUGAACGCUGGCGGCGUGCCUAAUACAUGCAAGUCGAGCGAACAGACAAGGAGCUUGCUCCUCUGACGUCAUCGGGGGACGGGGGAGAAACACGUGGAUACCCUAUCUAUUUCACAGGGAUAACUUCGGGAAACCGGAGCGAAUACCGCAUAUUAUAUUGAACCGCAUGGUUCAAUAUGGAAGAACGGUUUUGCUGUCUCUUAUACAUGGAUCCGCGCACGAUAUAGUAUUUGGUUAGGUAACGGCUUACCUAGGCGACCAUGCGUACCCGACCUGAGAGGGUGAUCGGCCACACUGGAACUGAGACUGGGACCGAACUCCUACGGGAAGCACCAGUGGGGAAUCUUCCGCAAUUGGGCGAAAGUUUGACCGGAGCAACGCCCGCGUGAGUGAUGACGGUCUUCGGAUCGUAAAACUCUGUUAUUAGGGACGAACAUAUGUGUAAGUAAUUAUGCGCGUCUUGACGGUACCUAAUCAGAAAGCCCCGGCUAACUACGUGCCAGCAGCCGCGGUUAAUACGUAGGUGGCCAGCGUUAUUCCGGAAUUAUUGGGCGUAAAGCGCGCGUCAGGCGGUAUCAUAUGUUUGAUGUGAAAACCCCCGGCUCAACCCUCGAGGGUCAUUGGAAACUGGAAAUACUAGAGUGCAGAAGAGGAAAGUGGAAUUCCUUGUGUAGCGGUGAAAUGCGCAGAUAUAUGGAGGAACACCAGUGGCGAAGGCGACUUUCUGGUCGGUAACUGACGCUGAUGUGCGAAAGCCAGGGGAUCAAACAGGAUUAGAUACCCUGGUAGUCCACGCCGUAAACGA
This 826-nucleotide ribosomal RNA is filed under the name uncultured bacterium. RNAcentral describes it as "bacterial SSU rRNA". It matches the Rfam family "Bacterial small subunit ribosomal RNA", at positions 8 to 809 of the family's 1533-position model. The record is from RNAcentral.